GGUGUUUAGGUAUGCUGUACUCUGUAAUGGUGUCUAGGUAUGCUGUACUCUGUAAUGGUGUUUAGGUAUGCUGUAUCUCUGUAAUGGUGUCUAGGUAUGCUGUACUCUGUAAUGGUGUUUAGGCAUGCUGUACUCUGUAAUGGUGUUUAGGUAUGCUGUACUCUGUAAUGGUGUUUAGAUAUGCUGUACUCUGUAAUGGUGUCUAGGUAUGCUGUACUCUGUAAUGGUGUUUAGGUAUGCUGUAUCUCUGUAAUGGUGUCUAGGUAUGCUGUACUCUGUAAUGGUGUUUAGGUAUGCUGUACUCUGUAAUGGUGUUUAGAUAUGCUGUACUCUGUAAUGGUGUCUAGGUAUGCUGUACUCUGUAAUGGUGUUUAGGUAUGCUGUACUCUGUAAUGGUGUUUAGGUAUGCUGUAUCUCUGUAAUGGUGUCUAGGUAUGCUGUACUCUGUAUCCAUGUAAUGGUGUUUAGGUAUGCUGUACUCUGUAUCUCUGUAAUGGUGUUUAGGUAUGCUGUAUCUCUGUAAUGGUGUCUAGGUAUGCUGUACUCUGUAAUGGUGUUUAGGCAUGCUGUACUCUGUAAUGGUGUUUAGGUAUGCUGUACUCUGUAAUGGUGUUUAGA
Molecule: non-coding RNA, 618 nt
Organism: Oncorhynchus mykiss (rainbow trout)
Lineage: Eukaryota; Metazoa; Chordata; Actinopteri; Salmoniformes; Salmonidae
Source: RefSeq, a predicted model, not a curated record